Long non-coding RNA from Scylla paramamosain (green mud crab), 3316 nucleotides. RefSeq lists it as uncharacterized. The transcript has 2 exons. The record is from RefSeq and is a predicted model, not a curated record. Lineage: Eukaryota; Metazoa; Arthropoda; Malacostraca; Decapoda; Portunidae.
GCCCUCAUUAAGCUCAUAGCGAUGACCUAGUCCACUGGGAAAGAAAAAAUCAAGGAAUAAAUUUCUUUACACAGAAUGGUGCAGCGUUUCCAUGAGGUGUCGUGAUUGUGGAUAUAACUCUCGGGGACGAGCACAUACUAUUCCACGAUAAAAUAUGAGGGAAAAAAAUUGCAAUAAAGACGUGUACUCGUAAAGGUGAAGUAUGCUGCAACAGAAGUACAUCCACCGCCAGUCAUUCUUUAAAUACAUUAGCUGCAGCAACCUGCAAGCGGUAGUUGUUAUGAAAUGUGUCCCGGAGAGCUGCAUCAGUAAUUCAACGGCCAGUGGUGCCAAUCAUGGGUCCUCGUGCCGCGCAGAGGUGGGUGACUCAGGCAAGGCACGCUAAGCUGUGUUAGGUCUAUAAAAUUCGAUUUAAUACAUUCUUUCUUUCAAUUAAAGAUUCAGUACUUUUACAAAUAAGUAAUCAAAGCCAGAUUUUACGUCACAAUUCGUCGCUUACAUGGAGGCUCCUGUAUUAAUUAACAUAGAUGCUAUGACUGUCACCACUCUGCUCCACACAUAUAAUCUUAAAGAAUUAUUAGUCGGUUUACAGAACUAGUAGUCAUAUUAUUAUUUACUGCUGAUUUAUUAUUCCUUGUGAGUUACACAGGGUUACAUAGAGUUACAUAGAAAAGCAGGCCACAACACACCUUGAUAAUAGAAGAAAAGGACAGGAAUGAGAGAGAGAGAGAGAGAGAGAGAGAGAGAGAGAGUGUGUGUGUGUGUGUGUUUACUGCUAUUACAAUCAUGAUACAUGCAUAUUUGUUUACAGAGCUCAGUACAAUAGCUACGGUCUGUAGAGCUUGGUCUGUGUGUGUGUGUGUGUGUGUGUGUGUGUGUGUGUGUGUGUGUGUGUGUUGGAGGGAAAGGAGUGAAAGAGUGAAAGAGGCGUGUGAACAGGAAAUAACUCUUUGUUUGCUUACUAUAUAAGCUUUUGUAUAGCUGGACAUCUUUCGAGGAACAGAGAAAGCAGAGAAAACCAGUGAGUGGGGGCAAGUUAUCACCGCAAGUCAGCUCACACACAACUCGCCUCCUCAAGGCCGCCACACAGCAACCCCCAAGGCUCACCGUGACGUGCGCUACCAAGAACACAUAAAAAUCCAUCACCCUGUACUUCAUAAUAUAUCAGCCUGUUACAACACGUUUCAGUUCUUACAUCUUCACUUGUAAAUAUGAUUAUAGAAACGAAUGCAGGAACAUUUAAGAAACAAACAUCGACAUUUUAAAAUUCUCCUCAUAAAGACAGUUCCAAGAGGCAACAAACAACAACAAUAGUAAUAAUAAUAAUAAUAAUAAUAAUAAUAAUAAUAAUAAUAAUAAUAAUGGCAGUAAUGACGGCGAUAAGAAAACACCGCGAAUGAGCUGUUUUUCUUAUUGAUGUGUGUGUGUGUGUGUGUGUGUGUGUGUGUGUGUGUGUGUGUGUGUGUGUGUGUGUGUGUGUGUGUGUGUGUGUGUGUGUGGGAGGGGGGGGCUUGCAUAUUAUCAACAAGAUCCCAGAGAGAGAGAGAGAGAGAGAGAGAGAGAGAGAGAGAGAGAGAGAGAGAGAGAGAGAGAGAGAGAGAGAAUAAAAAGAGAAAGAUAUGAAAGAGAGGGAGGGAAACAUUAAGGUACAUAAAUAAAUUUCAAUAAUCGUUUUCAUCCGGGCUUCAUAGACACUUCAACCUCGAGACUUGACACGCCCUCAACACAUCAUUCCUUUCCUCAAAGUGCACGUAAGAACACCUAAUUCAUUCUUUGCAUUGUACCUUUGUAGAAAAUUGAAGUGGAAGAAGCAGGUGAAUGUAAUGUUCAGAGCAGCAAGGGUGUAUACAGGAGGCAGCAAGACAACAGGCUCGGUGGAAAGAAGAAUUUUGCUUGCAGAGAAGUAGCCGUUAACUUUUUGGGGCAUUGCGACUAAUGUGUGUUAUCAAUUCCCACGCUUUCUUUUUUUUUUUUUUUAUUCCAUUUUGGAAAAUACUACUUUCUUCUCUGGCCUGUGUGAUGGAGAAACCACCCUGAAAUAUUAGUGUUACAUUCAGAACAGCUGUAACAGAGGUCUCACUCCAUGUUACUAUCUGUUACAGAAAUAAAAUCUUAUUUAAUCCGUCUUUCACAGUAAAAGUACACUUUGGUAUUCAAUGAUGAAUCCAAUCCUUCUCUCAACUGCAGUUCACCGGAAUUCUUUCUUGUUCCCCUUUCAUGUUCACUUUAAAAGAAUACCAGACAAAUUUGUGGGUGAGGAUAUGUAGAAAUAGGUUAGCAUAGGAAGAAAUAGGUUACAGGGAGUGCCACGAAUAGGCCUGUAGGCUUCUUGCAGCUUCCCUGAUUUUCAAUGUUAUGUUCUUAUGGAAACCUACCAUCACAAUUAGAGAUCGGAACACAAUCUCUGCCUACACUGACAUAACAGGGCCGGCAUGGCACGUCGGGGAUUAUGCCGGGUUCGUGUCCAGUUAUUGUGGUGAUAGGGAUUGGGGGUAGUAGUGAUUUUGUUAACUGCAGUGGGUCCUGGAAAAACUAUGGACGCAGAGGACGAAGAUGGAAGAUGGUAAUUUGUUGCAAAUUCCUCAAGUGAUUCAGGGACUGAUUUUUGGCCAGGUGCUGGUUGAGGGUUGAGUAAUUCAUGCAUGAAGAAGUGGCUGGUGGGACUGUAGCUGACGACACUCAAUGGAGUGUCGUAUGUUCCGACACUGGAUCGCCUUCGUCUUUCUGAAGGGAUAAUUUCGUUCUUCAUCUGUACAUUUUGCAGUAGGUUUUCUUCGUUAUUGUAGCUUUUCUUUUCGUCUUUGUUUUCGUUUCCAAAUGAAGGGCGGGGAGAGUGGGAAGAGUGUAAAGACUGUAGCAAGCUGGAGCCUUUGGCAAGGCCUGGCGAGGAUGGCUUGUGGUGAGGGCUGAGGGGCAGCGGCAGGACGUGCGGUAUGCUGGUGAGGGAGACGCUGGGAGGCGAGUUUCGUGAAGCAAGAUAAUGGCGCACUGAAAGACUGGAGUCCGGGACGCGGCGCUCCUCGUCCAGACGUAUGACAGGAGUGGCAGGAAGCGACGUCCACCAGGGUAAGCCAGUGAGGGAGUGGGUGCUGGGAAGGGCGAUUGCCGCCCCCGCCGACACUGCCCACGCCGUCAAACUACCUGGGAAAAUUCAUGUUUGUUUGUGCAUGUAAAAGGGAAAUAAUAUAAAGAUAGGUGUAUGAAAUUAAAUAAUUUCUUGAUGUAUCCUUUCAUUCAUUACUUCAUCAGUUUUGGAGUCACACAGAGACAAACGCACACACACACACACACACACACACACACACACACACACACA